UUCCGCGGCGAUCUUCCAGUAUCCCAUCAUGCCUGUUGACUCAGCAAUACCUGUGAACGGUUGUGGUAGAAUAGUGUUGUAACGUGGAACAUCAUGUCAGACAAGAAACAACCCGUCGAUUUAGGAUUGUUGGAGGAAGAUGACGAGUUCGAAGAGUUUCCAGCAGAAGACUGGACAGGAUUAGAUGAAGAUGAAGAUGCACACGUAUGGGAAGACAACUGGGAUGAUGACAAUGUAGAGGACGAUUUUUCUAACCAACUGAGAGGUGAACUCGAAAAGCAUGGAUACAAGAUGGAAACAUCAUAGUCUUGAAAGAAAACUUGGCAAUUUGAGUUUUAUGGACUGAACUUCAUUUAAAGAAAAAGCAUAUUGAAAACAUUAUGCAUUUAUUGUAGUUAUUUUUUGACUUGUUAAAUUAAAGGUUUGUAUUUUUGAGAUGUAUCUUUUGUUUCUGUAUCCUCAUAAUAUACAUGAAUACUAAGGUGAACAUUCAAAUAAAUGUAUAAGACAACUACUUAAUACUCCAAACUGGGAAAAAAAAACAUUUUAAGUGGGUGCUGUAAUUAUUGGAUAUUAGAAGAAAAGUGCUAAAAUUUUCUACCACUGUUCACAAGUUUCAAAUUGUGCACCUUUCCUGUUGCUAGGGAUGGGUUAUUGUCGAUUUACAUGAGCUUUGAGUAAUGUAAAUUCUUUUAUGGUAAUGAUCCUGUAUAUGGCAAUAAGAAAAAGGUUGGACUUUUGUAACUUUUGUUUGUCAUAAAAUGCUUGAUUCUACAAUGGAAUAGUUUACUUAGCAUUGUCAUGUAAGACGAGAAGCAGUCUGAAAAGUGUCCCAAGAGUUGACAGUUGUGCAGGAUAUUUUAGAAGGCACAGAGUGGUUGACAGCAAACUUGACAAUAAAACCAAGAAAGACAAAAUCUUCUCAGCAUUUCAGGUGAUCUGUGCUCCUUCUUACUUUACGUAUGUACAGGCUUUACCCAUCAUGCUGAUAGUAAAGAAACAAGUGGUCAGGACCAACAUCUGAAAGUCAGGUGUUAUGUGUAUGUUGGAAGUGUUGGUUUUGCUGUAUGAAAGGUGAAAUUCACUCUUGCUUUCUACUAAAUCUGCAGGUAAUUACCAAGAUUAAAGGUUCGCCGACUUUCGUUACACAGGUUGUUUUAUAUGCUUCAGUUGUAUUAAAGCAGUUUAAUUUUAA
Polypterus senegalus (gray bichir) is the source of this 1195-nucleotide long non-coding RNA. RefSeq lists it as uncharacterized. The transcript has 3 exons. Lineage: Eukaryota; Metazoa; Chordata; Cladistia; Polypteriformes; Polypteridae. The record is from RefSeq and is a predicted model, not a curated record.